RNAcentral lists this ribosomal RNA (1372 nucleotides) under uncultured bacterium. Its description in RNAcentral is "bacterial SSU rRNA". It matches the Rfam family "Bacterial small subunit ribosomal RNA", at positions 28 to 1381 of the family's 1533-position model. The record is from RNAcentral.
GAUGAACGCUGGCGGCGUGCCUAAUACAUGCAAGUCGAGCGAACGGACGAGAAGCUUGCUUCUCUGAUGUUAGCGGCGGACGGGUGAGUAACACGUGGAUAACCUACCUAUAAGACUGGGAUAACUUCGGGAAACCGGAGCUAAUACCGGAUAAUAUUUUGAACCGCAUGGUUCAAAAGUGAAAGACGGUCUUGCUGUCACUUAUAGAUGGAUCCGCGCUGCAUUAGCUAGUUGGUAAGGUAACGGCUUACCAAGGCAACGAUGCAUAGCCGACCUGAGAGGGUGAUCGGCCACACUGGAACUGAGACACGGUCCAGACUCCUACGGGAGGCAGCAGUAGGGAAUCUUCCGCAAUGGGCGAAAGCCUGACGGAGCAACGCCGCGUGAGUGAUGAAGGUCUUCGGAUCGUAAAACUCUGUUAUUAGGGAAGAACAUAUGUGUAAGUAACUGUGCACAUCUUGACGGUACCUAAUCAGAAAGCCACGACUAACUACGUGCCAGCAGCCGCGGUAAUACGUAGGUGGCAAGCGUUAUCCGGAAUUAUUGGGCGUAAAGCGCGCGUAGGCGGUUUUUUAAGUCUGAUGUGAAAGCCCACGGCUCAACCGUGGAGGGUCAUUGGAAACUGGAAAACUUGAGUGCAGAAGAGGAAAGUGGAAUUCCAUGUGUAGCGGUGAAAUGCGCAGAGAUAUGGAGGAACACCAGUGGCGAAGGCGACUUUCUGGUCUGUAACUGACGCUGAUGUGCGAAAGCGUGGGGAUCAAACAGGAUUAGAUACCCUGGUAGUCCACGCCGUAAACGAUGAGUGCUAAGUGUUAGGGGGUUUCCGCCCCUUAGUGCUGCAGCUAACGCAUUAAGCACUCCGCCUGGGGAGUACGACCGCAAGGUUGAAACUCAAAGGAAUUGACGGGGACCCGCACAAGCGGUGGAGCAUGUGGUUUAAUUCGAAGCAACGCGAAGAACCUUACCAAAUCUUGACAUCCUUUGACAACUCUAGAGAUAGAGCCUUCCCCUUCGGGGGACAAAGUGACAGGUGGUGCAUGGUUGUCGUCAGCUCGUGUCGUGAGAUGUUGGGUUAAGUCCCGCAACGAGCGCAACCCUUAAGCUUAGUUGCCAUCAUUAAGUUGGGCACUCUAAGUUGACUGCCGGUGACAAACCGGAGGAAGGUGGGGAUGACGUCAAAUCAUCAUGCCCCUUAUGAUUUGGGCUACACACGUGCUACAAUGGACAAUACAAAGGGCAGCGAAACCGCGAGGUCAAGCAAAUCCCAUAAAGUUGUUCUCAGUUCGGAUUGUAGUCUGCAACUCGACUACAUGAAGCUGGAAUCGCUAGUAAUCGUAGAUCAGCAUGCUACGGUGAAUACGUUCCCGGGUCU